RNAcentral lists this ribosomal RNA (818 nucleotides) under uncultured fungus. RNAcentral describes it as "SSU rRNA". It matches the Rfam family "Eukaryotic small subunit ribosomal RNA", at positions 564 to 1408 of the family's 1831-position model. Lineage: Eukaryota; Fungi. The record is from RNAcentral.
GUGCCAGCAGCCGCGGUAAUUCCAGCUCCAAUAGCGUAUAUUAAAGUUGUUGUGGUUAAAAAGCUCGUAGUUGAACCUUGGGCCUGGCUGGCCGGUCCGCCUCACCGCGUGCACUGGUCCGGCCGGGCCUUUCCCUCUGUGGAACCCCAUACCCUUCACUGGGUGAAAAAAAAAAAAACAAGACAUUUACUUUGAAAAAAUUAGAGUGCUCCAGGCAGGCCUAUGCUCGAAUACAUUAGCAUGGAAUAAUAAAAUAGGACGCGCGGUUCUAUUUUGUUGGUUUAUACGACCGCCGUAAUGAUUAAUAGGGACAGUCGGGGGCAUCAGUAUUCAACUGUCAGAGGUGAAAUUCUUGGAUCAGUUGAAGACUAACUACUGCGAAAGCAUUUGCCAAGGAUGUUUUCAUUAAUCAGGAACGAAAGUUAGGGGAUCGAAGACGAUCAGAUACCGUCGUAGUCUUAACCAUAAACUAUGCCGACUAGGGAUCGGACGGUGUUAUUCAUGACCCGUUCGGCACCUUACGAGAAAUCAAAGUGCUUGGGCUCCAGGGGGAGUAUGGUCGCAAGGCUGAAACUUAAAGAAAUUGACGGAAGCGCACCACCAGGGGUGGAGUCUGCGUCUUAAUUUUGACUCAACACGGGGAAACUCACCAGGUCCAGACACAUAAGGAUUGACAGAUUGAGAGCUCUUUCUUGAUUUUGUGGGUGGUGGCUGCAUCGCCCGUCGUAGGUGGUGGGGUGACUUGUCUGCUUAAUAGCGAUAACGAACGAGAUCUUAACUGCUAAAUAGUCUCGCAUUGCUCCGGCAGUGCUCUGGCU